UAAUACAGAGGUCCCAAGCGUUGUUCGGAUUCACUGGGCGUAAAGGGUGCGUAGGUGGUCGGUCAAGUUCGAUGUGAAAUCUCCGGGCUCAACUCGGAAAUGGCAUUGAAUACUGCCCGGCUGGAGGGUCGAAGGGGAGACUGGAAUUCUCGGUGUAGCAGUGAAAUGCGUAGAUAUCGAGAGGAACACCAGUGGCGAAGGCGAGUCUCUGGACGACUCCUGACACUGAGGCACGAAAGCUAGGGGAGCAAACAGG
RNAcentral lists this ribosomal RNA (256 nucleotides) under uncultured bacterium. RNAcentral describes it as "partial 16S ribosomal RNA". It matches the Rfam family "Bacterial small subunit ribosomal RNA", at positions 521 to 776 of the family's 1533-position model. The record is from RNAcentral.